CACUAUACGGGGAGUUAGCGGUGCCCUGAACCUGCAAUCCGCUAUAGCAGGGUAGAAUUCCCGGCCUCGGGGCCUUGAGGCAGGUGGUGGCUUCGGCAAGUGGUGUUGACUACACGGUCUUGGACAAUGAAGCGUCAUGAACCAUGUCAGAUCCGGAAGGAAGCAGCAUUAAGUGAUUCCCCUUCAUGUGUACCGAGGGUGCCGUGUCCGAGCUAACGACCGAGG
This 225-nucleotide signal recognition particle RNA is filed under the name uncultured Kallipyga sp. RNAcentral's name for it is "Bacterial large signal recognition particle RNA". It matches the Rfam family "Bacterial large signal recognition particle RNA", at positions 6 to 224 of the family's 256-position model. Rfam says of the family: The signal recognition particle (SRP) is a universally conserved ribonucleoprotein involved in the co-translational targeting of proteins to membranes. Archaeal SRP consists of a 7S RNA and homologues of the eukaryotic SRP19 and SRP54 proteins. In most bacteria, the SRP consists of a 4.5S RNA and the Ffh protein (a homologue of the eukaryotic SRP54 protein). The record is from RNAcentral. Lineage: Bacteria; Bacillati; Bacillota; Tissierellia.